This 245-nucleotide long non-coding RNA is filed under the name Elaeis guineensis (African oil palm). RNAcentral describes it as "long non-coding RNA (EGUI_LNC034090)". The record is from RNAcentral. Lineage: Eukaryota; Viridiplantae; Streptophyta; Magnoliopsida; Arecales; Arecaceae.
AGCUAGGAUAUAGGUAGGUUAUCAAAAUCAAAGACGGCUAAAUCUAGUAGGAUCUGAUAAAAGGUAGAAUGAGAAAAUGAUUCAUUGCCUAGCUAUUAAGAUAGUUCAAGAUUCCUCACUAGGAUUGAUGCAUACCACAGAGAGUCCCAUUAGUGGGGUCCAUAAGUCAUAAAGAGAAGUGAGGUAGACUACAAGUGGAAUAUGAGUAUUUGGAUCAAUUUGAAGAAGAUGAAGUCAACCAGUCA